Molecule: ribosomal RNA, 429 nt
Filed under: uncultured eukaryote
Lineage: Eukaryota
Description: SSU rRNA
Rfam family: Eukaryotic small subunit ribosomal RNA
Source: RNAcentral
CCAGCCCCCGCGGUAAUUCCAGCUCCAGUAGCAUAUAUUAAAGUUGUUGCAGUUAAAAAGCUCGUAGUUGGAUUUCUGGUACGAUGCGCCUAGUCCGCGACGUUUAACGUCUGUGAGUACUGGAGCGCGUCUGCCAUCCUUCUGGGGAACGGGUCUACCCUUCACUGGGCCGGGCUCGUGAACCAGAUCGUUUACUUUGAAAAAAUUAGAGUGUUCAAAGCAGGCCUUUUGCUGUGAAUACAUUAGCAUGGAAUAAUGAUCUAGGACUUCGGUUCUAUUUUGUUGGUUUCUAGCACUGAAGUAAUGAUUGAUAGGGAUAGUUGGGGGUGCUAGUAUUGGGCGGCCAGAGGUGAAAUUCUUGGAUUCGCUCAAGACUAACUUAUGCGAAAGCAUUCACCAAGGAUGUCUUCUUUAAUCAAGAACGAAAGU